RNAcentral lists this ribosomal RNA (482 nucleotides) under uncultured bacterium. RNAcentral's name for it is "partial 16S ribosomal RNA". It matches the Rfam family "Bacterial small subunit ribosomal RNA", at positions 28 to 523 of the family's 1533-position model. The record is from RNAcentral.
GACGAACGCUGGCGGCGUGCUUAACACAUGCAAGUCGAACGAUGAAACCUAGCUUGCUAGGUCGAUUAGUGGCGAACGGGUGAGUAACACGUGACUAACCUGCCCCUUUCUCUGGGAUAACGCUCCGAAAGGAGUGCUAAUACCGGAUACUCACACCGGGGCACAUGCCUUGGUGUGGAAAGUUUUUCGGAAAGGGAUGGAGUCGCGGCCUAUCAGCUUGUUGGUGAGGUAACGGCUCACCAAGGCGACGACGGGUAGCCGGCCUGAGAGGGCGACCGGCCACACUGGGACUGAGACACGGCCCAGACUCCUACGGGAGGCAGCAGUGGGGAAUAUUGCACAAUGGGCGCAAGCCUGAUGCAGCGACGCCGCGUGAGGGAUGAAGGUCUUCGGAUUGUAAACCUCUUUCAGUAGGGAUGAAGCGAAAGUGACGGUACCUGCAGAAAAAGCACCGGCUAACUACGUGCCAGCAGCCGCCGUAA